Molecule: ribosomal RNA, 450 nt
Filed under: uncultured bacterium
Lineage: Bacteria
Description: bacterial SSU rRNA
Rfam family: Bacterial small subunit ribosomal RNA
Source: RNAcentral
GUGGGGAAUUUUGGACAAUGGGCGCAAGCCUGAUCCAGCAAUGCCGCGUGUGUGAAGAAGGCCUUCGGGUUGUAAAGCACUUUUGGCAGGAAAGAAAUAGCGCGUGCUAAUACCAUGCGCGAAUGACGGUACCUGCAGAAUAAGCACCGGCUAACUACGUGCCAGCAGCCGCGGUAAGACGUAGGGUGCAAGCGUUAAUCGGAAUUACUGGGCGUAAAGCGUGCGCAGGCGGUUUUGUAAGACAGGUGUGAAAUCCCCGGGCUGAACCUGGGAACUGCACUUGGGACUGCAAGGCUAGAGUGUGUCAGAGGGAGGUGGAAUUCCGCGUGUAGCAGUGAAAUGCGUAGAGAUGCGGAGGAACACCGAUGGCGAAGGCAGCCUCCUGGGAUAACACUGACGCUCAGGUACGAAAGCGUGGGGAGCAAACAGGAUUAGAAACCCUUGUAGUCC